RNAcentral lists this ribosomal RNA (253 nucleotides) under uncultured bacterium. RNAcentral describes it as "partial 16S ribosomal RNA". It matches the Rfam family "Bacterial small subunit ribosomal RNA", at positions 524 to 776 of the family's 1533-position model. The record is from RNAcentral.
UACGUAGGGCGCGAGCGUUGUCCGGAAUUAUUGGGCGUAAAGAGCUCGUAGGCGGCUCGUCGCGUCUGCUGUGAAAACGCGGGGCUUAACUCCGCGCUUGCAGUGGGUACGGGCAGGCUUGAGUGUAGUAGGGGAGACUGGAUUUCCUGGUGUAGCGGUGGAAUGCGCAGAUAUCAGGAGGAACACCGAUGGCGAAGGCAGGUCUCUGGGCUCAUUCUGACGCUGAGGAACGAAAGCGUGGGUAGCAAACAGG